Ceratotherium simum simum (southern white rhinoceros) is the source of this 2141-nucleotide non-coding RNA. The record is from RefSeq and is a predicted model, not a curated record. NCBI's taxonomy places the organism in Eukaryota, Metazoa, Chordata, Mammalia, Perissodactyla, Rhinocerotidae.
GAGCAGAAAUGGGUACAGUGCAUGGAUUGGCAUGCUCUAUGUGGAUCAUUAUCAUACCAACCCUGUGCUUGUCAGCUUUUGCCACAUCCUGAUCACAGGCCACAGGGAGAGGAGGCUGCAGCAGGCCAUCAAAUACUGGUACCUAAAUCAGUCAGCAGGUAAGUCUCCUGUCUGAAUCUACACUGGGGUUGGAUGAGAGGAAAAAGUACCCUAAGCCUUGUCUGGGAUUCCUGAGAUGUCCCAGGUUACCCUUCCCCACCCCCCUUCCUCCACACUCCAUGCCCUGGGAAACCUUCUACCCAGGAGAUCAGGAGGCUUACCCCCCAGUCAGCCUGGCUAUGGGACCCCUGAGGCCUUGUGUCCUUGUCUUUCUGACUGGGUUCCUCCCUUUUUCUGGGAAAUGAGCUCUAGUUCUGCUAGCUGAGUCCUUCAUUCCCCCAUUUGAGACCCCACCCAUAUCCCAGGAUGCAGGCCAGAUGCCCUCCAAGAUAGCACUCAGUUUUGUUCACCACAAGCUCUCCCGGCCACCAACUCCUGCCCCCUCAAGGCUCUAGUGUCUCCUCCCACCCCUGUUAUUCUGCUCUGCCUUCUGCUCGGAAGCCCAUCAGUUAGCCAUGUCUUGUCAGCAGCGAUCUGGACUGUGUUCAUCACUGUUCCCAACGCUGCAGAUACUCAGCUCUGUGGGACAAACUCGCACCCCUCCAGCCGCCCUCAUGUCCCCAGGAGUCCUGGUCCAGCUCCUUCUCCUACUCCUCACAUCUACUGGGCAGCUUUUCCUACAGCCUCUGAGGAGGACAGAGACAAGCUGCCCCCUCAUUCCAAUCCGUCUACUCUGAUUCUAUCCUAGGUCCCCGCAUCUCAGCCAGGUCCAGGACGAGGUGGCUCCUGCUGCAGACCCUCAUCAACAACCCCAGACUGGUCAUGCUCAGAAAAUCGAGAGCAGGUUAUGGUUCCCAGGAGUUUACCCCGAUUCCAGUGACGUGCUUGGAAUGCUGACGCUGACCUGCAACUGUGCCACCAGGCCAUUCCAGGAUCACUGCCGCUGAGAGAAGGCCCAGGCCCCCCAGCAGCUGUCCCCUGCAGUGUGAUGGGAUGCACAGCUACUGUCCAUGCAAAUGGCACACAGCACUGGCCAGGAUGGCACCUGGGCUGAACAAGGAAGUCUCAGGUCUAAUUCACUCCCUUGGCAAAAAGAUCAAGAACUAAAGAGAAUUUCUGUUGAACAGACUUUGCCCAAUAAUGAGCUCCACUAUCCAUGGUUAGGAGGCAGCCUGGGGACUUCCAUGGCGAGAAGCAGUUAGUUUGACCACAGGACAGAACUUUGUGCCACUGAAGAAGGUGGUAAAAUUUCUAUAUGAGGAGAGUUUAACCGUUUGACGCAGUUUUUCUUGGGAAGAAAGGGUGGCCUUAAUCCAACGGGGUCCUCAUUGCUUCCUCCUUUCCAGGUCCUACGGUGGUGGGAAAGAAGGAAAUCCAUGAUCCCAGCCUCCAAUCUGGGAGAGUGAGCCGGCACACAGUGAGCUCUCCCUGCCAGGGCCACUGGGAAGAGGGACAGAUCCAAACUGACCAGGGUCUUGGUCACAAAGAAGAUGCACAGAUUCCCUCUGACAAGGGAGGAUCACCUGGGACAGCUGCCUGUCUGAGGAGGCAGAGAUGGGGUGGAUAGGCAUUCUAUGUGGGGGACAAGAAGAGCAGAGGUGUGGGAGCCGGAAAGGUCCACGCCUGUUUGAGGAGGAUGAGCCCUCUGGUGUUUGCAGUGCAGGGCACUGGGGGCUGCUUAGACCAUUCCUCCUUAGGCCCCGAUGCCAGGCUGGGAGGCCUGGACAUCUCUUGUUGUGCAGAGGGCCCAGUACUGACCCAAAUUCUUCACAGCUAAGCCUCAAGUCUCUGAGGGCCUGGAACCUGUACAAAAUCUGACCAUUUCAAGUCACUCAUGAAGCCUGUGCAAGAGCCAGGAGGCUCCACCAACAGGGUGAGAGAAAUCCCUGUCCACCUCACAAGUCCCAGAGCCACUGCAACUCAGUAAUCGUUACUGAGUAUCUCCUGUAAACCAGUCGUGUUGCUAGGUGUGUCUGCCAUACUUAUCUCUCUUAAUACUCCACAACUAAGCUUUGUCAUUCUGCUUUUAGAAACUGAGAAAA